This 449-nucleotide ribosomal RNA is filed under the name uncultured organism. RNAcentral's name for it is "partial 16S ribosomal RNA". It matches the Rfam family "Bacterial small subunit ribosomal RNA", at positions 330 to 796 of the family's 1533-position model. The record is from RNAcentral.
CGUACACUCCUGCGGGAGGCAGCAGUGGGGAAUAUUGGACAAUGGGCGCAAGCCUGAUCCAGCCAUGCCGCGUGAGUGAUGAAGGCCCUAGGGUUGUAAAGCUCUUUCACCGGUGAAGAUAAUGACGGUAACCGGAGAAGAAGCCCCGGCUAACUUCGUGCCAGCAGCCGCGGUAAUACGAAGGGGGCUAGCGUUGUUCGGAUUUACUGGGCGUAAAGCGCACGUAGGCGGACUAUUAAGUCAGGGGUGAAAUCCCGGGGCUCAACCCCGGAACUGCCUUUGAUACUGGUAGUCUUGAGUUCGAGAGAGGUGAGUGGAAUUCCGAGUGUAGAGGUGAAAUUCGUAGAUAUUCGGAGGAACACCAGUGGCGAAGGCGGCUCACUGGCUCGAUACUGACGCUGAGGUGCGAAAGCGUGGGGAGCAAACAGGAUUAGACACCCUAGUAGUCC